RNAcentral lists this unclassified non-coding RNA (345 nucleotides) under soil metagenome. RNAcentral describes it as "partial contains 5.8S ribosomal RNA, internal transcribed spacer 2, and large subunit ribosomal RNA". The stretch from base 2 to 119 matches the Rfam family "5.8S ribosomal RNA", at positions 36 to 154 of the family's 154-position model. The record is from RNAcentral.
UAUGAAGAACGCAGCGAAAUGCGAUACGUAAUGUGAAUUGCAAAUUCAGUGAAUCAUCGAGUCUUUGAACGCACAUUGCGCCCCCUGGUAUUCCGGGGGGCAUGCCUGUCCGAGCGUCAUUGCUGCCCUCAAGCACGGCUUGUGUGUUGGGCCCCGUCCUCCGAUCCCGGGGGACGGGCCCGAAAGGCAGCGGCGGCACCGCGUCCGGUCCUCGAGCGUAUGGGGCUUUGUCACCCGCUCUGUAGGCCCGGCCGGCGCUUGCCGAUCAACCCAAAUUUUUAUCCAGGUUGACCUCGGAUCAGGUAGGGAUACCCGCUGAACUUAAGCAUAUCAAUAAGCGGAGGA